CUCUGGAGGGCUGAGAGAACUGCCAGCACCCUAGACAGAACAGUGCUGCUAGCAGGGACCAGAUUUAUUUCUUUGAACUUCCCUUGUUUCAUCAGCAGAGGAAGCUGGCUGGGGAGUGAGUUGCAGGGGAGAGAAGGAUCUCAUCUUUGAUUGAAUGUUGACCAUUCUGGUCCACCAGUUGGUCUUGGAAAGAAGCUAUGGACUCCUGUUGCUGCUGUUAGAUUGGAGGGCUACAAUUAUGGACACACCUGCUCUGCUUCCAUCUACUUUACACCACCUCCCUCAUGAUUCCAGAGUACCAGGAUCACAUCUGCCUUCAAGAUCCUGACUCCAAGCAAAUCACUCCCCUGGACCUGGGGAUUAUAUCCAUGGAUCAGCAGGUUUCAACAGAGAAAUGUGUUUUGUGUUGUCUGUCUGAAUCACUGUCCUUCCUGGUAACUUUUCCAAACCUCCUCUUUGCCUUUUAAAAAAAAUAAAUCUUCCCCCCACCCUCCCUUCAAUUUUAUUUUGUUUCAUCCCCAUCUGAUUUCCUAGAUUCUGGGUUUAUAGUAAAUUUCAGUGUUUCAAUCUACUUGCCCUAAAUGUACACUUAAUUAUUGCUGAUUAUGAGUCAUCAACUUACUGAGAAUUUGUUAUUGUGAGAUUGUCAGUUAUUUUUUCAAUAUUAUCAGUUCAGGAUGGUUUCUUUCACGGGUUUUUUUUAUGUUAAAUGAGUUGAAAUAAAUGUUAUGCUGAUUUACACUGAUGUACCUAUUUGGCAAUGUUGUUCACAUUAUAAUCCAGUAUAGACAAGACUUGAGAGGGUAAGGUUUAGUCAGAAAUGUUCUGCUAAUAAACCUUUAUCUGCAAAUGAUCCAGUUAUGGUGAAAUAAGGUUACUUUAACAAUCUGAAUAACUUUCUUAUAUCUCCACUAUAGACUUGUUCUCAAAUUGAUAUGCUAACCUCCUUCCCCCUUUUCUAUUUGUUUUGUGAAUAGUGCAGAAACCAUGUACUCCCUUGAUAUGAGACUAUUUCUGUUUUAUAAAGUUAAAGGGAAUCCAGUUAUACCCACAAAUGAGUGUUUGGGGGGUGCAGUGAGUGACAAGACCAUCCACUUAUAAACCUUCUGGAAUUAGGUCCUAUUUCAGUUUGGACAAGAAUUAUGUCUUUUUAAGAGAUCCUAGUCAAAUCUAAUCGCUUCAUUUCUCUUUCUCAAUUUUCCUAUCUUUUUUCCUUUCAUGGUCUACCUUACCCUUUCUCUUCCUGUCUCCCUCGUGUCCCCAGGGCAGUGAGGGGGAACCCAGAUAUAUCUUUCCUAGGUCUAGAAUUAACAAUGACCCAAGCAAUGACACUAUUCAGGAAUCUGGUAAAGAUAUAUUUGACUUAUGCACUCCUUAUGGCUACUAUUUUAAAUUGUGUUUCCU
This is a long non-coding RNA of Dermochelys coriacea (leatherback sea turtle), 1404 nucleotides long. RefSeq lists it as uncharacterized. The transcript has 2 exons. Lineage: Eukaryota; Metazoa; Chordata; Testudines; Dermochelyidae. The record is from RefSeq and is a predicted model, not a curated record.